Molecule: transfer RNA, 66 nt
Filed under: Homatula potanini
Lineage: Eukaryota; Metazoa; Chordata; Actinopteri; Cypriniformes; Nemacheilidae
Description: tRNA-Cys
Rfam family: tRNA
About the family: Transfer RNA (tRNA) molecules are approximately 80 nucleotides in length. Their secondary structure includes four short double-helical elements and three loops (D, anti-codon, and T loops).
Source: RNAcentral
AGUCCCGUGGUAGAGAAUAUAUUAGAUUGCAAAUCUAAAGACGCAGAUUAACGUCUGCCGGGGCUU